This 733-nucleotide ribosomal RNA is filed under the name Penicillium guaibinense. RNAcentral's name for it is "partial large subunit ribosomal RNA". It matches the Rfam family "Eukaryotic large subunit ribosomal RNA", at positions 56 to 810 of the family's 3401-position model. Lineage: Eukaryota; Fungi; Ascomycota; Eurotiomycetes; Eurotiales; Aspergillaceae. The record is from RNAcentral.
GAGAGACCAACAGGGAUUGCCUCAGUAACGGCGAGUGAAGCGGCAAGAGCUCAAAUUUGAAAGCUGGCUCCUUCGGGGUCCGCAUUGUAAUUUGCAGAGGAUGCUUCGGGAGCGGCCCCCAUCUAAGUGCCCUGGAACGGGCCGUCAUAGAGGGUGAGAAUCCCGUCUGGGAUGGGGUGCCCGCGCCCGUGUGAAGCUCCUUCGACGAGUCGAGUUGUUUGGGAAUGCAGCUCUAAAUGGGUGGUAAAUUUCAUCUAAAGCUAAAUACUGGCCGGAGACCGAUAGCGCACAAGUAGAGUGAUCGAAAGAUGAAAAGCACUUUGAAAAGAGAGUUAAACAGCACGUGAAAUUGUUGAAAGGGAAGCGCUUGCGACCAGACUCGCCUGUAGGGUUCAGCCGGCAUUCGUGCCGGUGUACUUCCCUGCGGGCGGGCCAGCGUCGGUUUGGGCGGCCGGUCAAAGGCCCUCGGAAUGUAACGCCCCCCGGGGCGUCUUAUAGCCGAGGGUGCCAUGCGGCCAGCCCGGACCGAGGAACGCGCUUCGGCUCGGACGCUGGCAUAAUGGUCGUAAGCGACCCGUCUUGAAACACGGACCAAGGAGUCUAACAUCUACGCGAGUGUUCGGGUGUCAAACCCGUGCGCGCAGUGAAAGCAAACGGAGGUGGGAACCCCUCGGGGUGCACCAUCGACCGAUCCUGAUGUCUUCGGAUGGAUUUGAUUAAGAGCGUAGCUGUU